UUGAAAGAAAAAGACGAAGAAGCUGUACACGCGUCCAUUGUUUUAGAAUGAAUGCAACAAACAAUGCAAUUGCACUUGAUUGCCAAACAGCUAGCCUUUUAUCAUCCCUCUGGAGGUAACAACAAAGUUGAGUAAAUUCAUCUCCACCGUUAAUUAAUUCGCAUUUAAAUACACAGACUCGUCUAACCAGCUCUCCUCGCAGAAGAAACAAGUGUUUGUGUUGAAGGAAUUAAAAUUCUCUGAGCUCUUCUGCAGGACUCUCCAAAAUGGUACAAUAAAUUGUAGUAUUGAAUAUAAUUGUAGUAUAUAUCCAUGUCGAUUUAAGUAUUUGAGUUUAAUUUUAAUCGUGUCGUGUACUUUUGCAGCUGGGUAUGAUGAAAUUACUGGUGGUCGGAUCAGUAGCAGAAUUUGUAACUGCGUUCUUGACAGAACCGUAUGCCAUUGUACUGCAUCUGUUGAGUUCGGUGGCAAUCUCUUUCUGCAUAAUGGAUUAUCUUAACUCACUUGACUUGUCACAAAUGUUCUAUUUAUUUUCAGUAUUUCAAUGAACUUGUUUCAUCUGUAACAAAGGAGGGACAGACAUUAAUUAGUAGUACAAUCCAGGAGGAUAAAGAGUGGUGAGAGUCGC
Molecule: long non-coding RNA, 628 nt
Filed under: Daucus carota (carrot)
Lineage: Eukaryota; Viridiplantae; Streptophyta; Magnoliopsida; Apiales; Apiaceae
Description: long non-coding RNA (DCAR_LNC003282)
Source: RNAcentral